GACGAACGCUGGCGGCGUGCUUAACACAUGCAAGUCGAACGGAAAGGCCUGCUUUCCCUUGUGGAUUGCGGGUACUCGAGUGGCGAACGGGUGAGUAACACGUGAGUGAUCUGCCCCCAACUUGGGUAUAAGCCUGGGAAACUGGGUCUAAUUCCCGAUAAGACUGUAGGGUGGUGCCUGUGGUGGAAAACGAUUUUCUAGUGGUUGGGGAUGAGCUCGCGGCCUAUCAGCUUGUUGGUGGGGUAAUGGCCUACCAAGGCGGCGACGGGUAGCCGGCCUGAGAGGGUGGACGGCCACAUUGGGACUGAGAUACGGCCCAGACUCCUACGGGAGGCAGCAGUGGGGAAUAUUGCACAAUGGGCGGAAGCCUGAUGCAGCGACGCCGCGUGGGGGAUGACGGCCUUCGGGUUGUAAACUCCUUUCGACCGCGAGGAAGCCACCUGGUUGGAAGGGUGGUGACGGUAGUGGUAGAAGAAGCACCGGCUAACUACGUG
RNAcentral lists this ribosomal RNA (494 nucleotides) under uncultured bacterium. RNAcentral describes it as "partial 16S ribosomal RNA". It matches the Rfam family "Bacterial small subunit ribosomal RNA", at positions 28 to 507 of the family's 1533-position model. The record is from RNAcentral.